Molecule: ribosomal RNA, 332 nt
Filed under: uncultured eukaryote
Lineage: Eukaryota
Description: partial 18S ribosomal RNA
Rfam family: Eukaryotic small subunit ribosomal RNA
Source: RNAcentral
CAAUAGCGUAUAUUAAAGUUGUUGCAGUUAAAAAGCUCGUAGUUGAAUUUCGGGUCCCCGCGCUCGGCGCUUCAUUGUGCCGUCGUGGUGUCCCUCCUCGCCGUAAGGCGUCCUUUACUGUGAAAAAAUUAGAGUGUUCAAAGCAGGUAAUCGCUUGAAUACAUUAGCAUGGAAUAAUAAGAUAGGAUCUUGUCUAUUUUGUUGGUUGCGGACAACGAUAAUGAUUAAUAGGGAUAGUUGGGGGUGUCCGUAUUGAGCUGUCAGAGGUGAAAUUCUUGGAUUUGCUCAAGACGAACUACUGCGAAAGCAUUCACCAAGGAUGUUUUCAUUAA